This 30-nucleotide non-coding RNA is filed under the name Mus musculus (house mouse). The record is from RNAcentral. Lineage: Eukaryota; Metazoa; Chordata; Mammalia; Rodentia; Muridae.
UGCAUCUUUUACAAUGAACUUGACUUUGAC